RNAcentral lists this ribosomal RNA (580 nucleotides) under Halalaimus sp. BCA25. Its description in RNAcentral is "eukaryotic LSU rRNA". It matches the Rfam family "Eukaryotic large subunit ribosomal RNA", at positions 367 to 911 of the family's 3401-position model. Lineage: Eukaryota; Metazoa; Nematoda; Enoplea; Enoplida; Oxystominidae. The record is from RNAcentral.
CAAAGAACUUUGAAGAGAGAGUUCAAUAGGACGUGAAACCGUUCAGAGAAUAAGAGCUUGAUGAGAGCUGUAAGAGCGCAUUCAGGAGUUUUUUGCUUCGUAUUUGUGUUCUGUUGCUGCCAUGCUGACGGCUGCGGGCAUUAUCGUUUAUGGUGGGCUGCUUUUAUGCAGUGUCCUGUUCUCGGUGUGUUUGUAGUUGCAGUGUGUAAAGGCUUUGAUCGGACGAAACGCGCGUUUUGGGAUUUGUAAUUCUACCUCGGUAGCGUUGCCCUUCUCGAUUCUGUUCGUGAAGUCUGAUUGCUGUCUGUAGCAAUAGCUCUGCGUUGAGCAUCCCGUCUUGAAACACGGACCAAGGAGUCUAAAUUGUGCGCAAGCUAUCGGAUAUAAAUCCGUAAGCGAAAUCAAUGUAAUUUGUUGGAUCAUUGAGAACAUCAAACGUGUGCUCUGUUCGCAUUGUGCUCAGUAUGAGUGCACAGAUUAGUACCCGAAAGAUGGUGAACUAUGCUUGAGCAGGACGAAGCUAGAGGAAACUCUGGUGGAAGUCCGAAGCGGUUCUGACGUGCAAAUCGAUCGUCGGACU